Molecule: ribosomal RNA, 752 nt
Filed under: uncultured marine bacterium
Lineage: Bacteria
Description: bacterial SSU rRNA
Rfam family: Bacterial small subunit ribosomal RNA
Source: RNAcentral
AGUGGCAGACGGGUGAGUAACAUGUAGGUAUCUGCCCUUUGGCCUGGAAUAACACGAGGAAACUUGUGCUAAUACCGGAUAAGUCUUUACGGAGAAAGCUUUAUGCACCAUUGGAUGAGCCUGCACUUGAUUAGUUUGUUGGUAGGGUAAUGGCCUACCAAGACUUUGAUCAAUAGCUGAUUUGAGAGGAUGAUCAGCCACAUUGGGACUGAGACACGGCCCAAACUCCUACGGGAGGCAGCAGUGGGGAAUCUUGCACAAUGGAGGAAACUCUGAUGCAGCGAUGCCGCGUGAGUGAAGAAGGCCCUUGGGUUGUAAAGCUCUUUCGUCGGGGAAGAAAAUGACUGUACCCGAAUAAGAAGGUCCGGCUAACUUCGUGCCAGCAGCCGCGGUAAUACGAAGGGACCUAGCGUAGUUCGGAAUUACUGGGCUUAAAGAGUUCGUAGGUGGUUGAAAUAGUUGGUGGUGAAAUCCCAGAGCUUAACUCUGGAACUGCCAUCAAAACUUUUCAGCUAGAGUUUGAUAGAGGAAAGCAGAAUUUCUAGUGUAGAGGUGAAAUUCGUAGAUAUUAGAAAGAAUACCAAUUGCGAAGGCAGCUUUCUGGAUCAUUACUGACACUGAGGAACGAAAGCAUGGGUAGCGAAGAGGAUUAGAUACCCUCGUAGUCCAUGCCGUANACGAUGUGUGUUAGACGUUGGAAAUUUAUUUUCAGUGUCGCAGCGAAAGCGAUAAACACACCGCCUGGGGAGUAC